CUUCUAGGAAAUGACAAGUUACGCUCUGACAUGCAGUGGUGAUCUGCCAUCUCUGCCUGCUCCCCACAUCGUGCCAGCUGGUCCAUCCCAAUGGGCAGAGUGGCAGGGGCACCGUGGGACCCUCCUCCCCAGCACAGAGCAGAUUCUUCCUCCCAGCCUCUGAGGAAACCACCCCCACUGACACCUUGACCUUGGACUUCCAGCCUCCAGAACUGUGACCUCUGUUGAU
This 229-nucleotide long non-coding RNA is filed under the name Sus scrofa (pig). RNAcentral's name for it is "lncRNA (ENSSSCG00070005096.1)". The record is from RNAcentral. Lineage: Eukaryota; Metazoa; Chordata; Mammalia; Artiodactyla; Suidae.